GAUGAACGCUGGCGGCGUGCCUAAUACAUGCAAGUCGAGCGAACAGACGAGAGCCUGCCUGCGCUGACGUGAGCCGCGGGCGGGUGUGUAACGCGGGGGUAACCUACCGAAAAUACGGGGAUGACUGCGGGAAACGGGAUCUUAUAGCGUAGGAUAUAUUGUAGGACAGGGUUCAGGAAUGAAAUACGGUUUGGGUGUCACUUGUAGCUUGAUCCGCUGCUCGUGAGCUAGUUGGUAAGGUAACGGCUUACUGAGGCAACGAUGGGUAGCCGAUCUGGGAGGGUGAACGCGGCCACUGGAACUGAGAGACGGCACAGAGUCCUACGGGAGGCCGAAGUAGGGACUCUUCGGAACUGGGCGAAAUACUGCAGGAGCAACGCAGCGUGAGUGCUGAAGGUCUUCGGAUCGUAAAACUGCGUUCUUAGGGAAGACUCCUUGCGUAAGUAACUAUGCACGUUUUGACGGUACCUAAUCAGAAAGCCACGGCUAACUACGUG
RNAcentral lists this ribosomal RNA (497 nucleotides) under uncultured bacterium. RNAcentral's name for it is "partial 16S ribosomal RNA". It matches the Rfam family "Bacterial small subunit ribosomal RNA", at positions 28 to 507 of the family's 1533-position model. The record is from RNAcentral.